This 458-nucleotide ribosomal RNA is filed under the name uncultured bacterium. Its description in RNAcentral is "bacterial SSU rRNA". It matches the Rfam family "Bacterial small subunit ribosomal RNA", at positions 340 to 789 of the family's 1533-position model. The record is from RNAcentral.
UACGGGAGGCAGCAGUGGGGAAUAUUGCACAAUGGGCGCAAGCCUGAUGCAGCCAUGCCGCGUGUAUGAAGAAGGCCUUCGGGUUGUAAAGUACUUUCAGUCGUGAGGAAGGUGUUAAGGUUAAUAACCUUAGCAAUUGACGUUAGCGACAGAAGAAGCACCGGCUAACUCCGUGCCAGCAGCCGCGGUAAUACGGAGGGUGCGAGCGUUAAUCGGAAUUACUGGGCGUAAAGGGCACGCAGGCGGUUAAUUAAGUUGGACGUGAAAUCCCCGGGCUUAACCUGGGAAUGGCAUUCAAGACUGGUUAGCUAGAGUCUUGUAGAGGGGGUUAGAAUUCCAUGUGUAGCGGUGAAAUGCGUAGAGAUGUGGAGGAAUACCGGUGGCGAAGGCGGCCCCUGGACAAAGACUGACGCUCAUGUGCGAAAGCGUGGGGAGCGAAACAGGGAUUAGAUACCCGU